This 1876-nucleotide ribosomal RNA is filed under the name Salmonella enterica subsp. enterica serovar Typhimurium var. 5-. RNAcentral describes it as "partial 23S ribosomal RNA". It matches the Rfam family "Bacterial large subunit ribosomal RNA", at positions 1028 to 2802 of the family's 2925-position model. The record is from RNAcentral. Lineage: Bacteria; Pseudomonadati; Pseudomonadota; Gammaproteobacteria; Enterobacterales; Enterobacteriaceae.
CAGACCGCCAGCUAAGGUCCCAAAGUCAUGGUUAAGUGGGAAACGAUGUGGGAAGGCCCAGACAGCCAGGAUGUUGGCUUAGAAGCAGCCAUCAUUUAAAGAAAGCGUAAUAGCUCACUGGUCGAGUCGGCCUGCGCGGAAGAUGUAACGGGGCUAAACCAUGCACCGAAGCUGCGGCAGCGAACGUAUCACCCAAGACAACUUUACGGAGUUGACGAUUGACGGAGCGAAGCGACGUCAAAGCGUUCAUUAAAGUCGAGUUGGCUUAGGGAUACGUUCGUUGGGUAGGGGAGCGUUCUGUAAGCCUGUGAAGGUGUGUCGUGAGGCAUGCUGGAGGUAUCAGAAGUGCGAAUGCUGACAUAAGUAACGAUAAAGCGGGUGAAAAGCCCGCUCGCCGGAAGACCAAGGGUUCCUGUCCAACGUUAAUCGGGGCAGGGUGAGUCGACCCCUAAGGCGAGGCCGAAAGGCGUAGUCGAUGGGAAACGGGUUAAUAUUCCCGUACUUGGUGUUACUGCGAAGGGGGGACGGAGAAGGCUAUGUUGGCCGGGCGACGGUUGUCCCGGUUUAAGCGUGUAGGUGUGUGUUCCAGGUAAAUCCGGUUCACUUUAACACUGAGGCGUGACGACGAGGCACUACGGUGCUGAAGCAACAAAUGCCCUGCUUCCAGGAAAAGCCUCUAAGCAUCAGGUAACAUCAAAUCGUACCCCAAACCGACACAGGUGGUCAGGUAGAGAAUACCAAGGCGCUUGAGAGAACUCGGGUGAAGGAACUAGGCAAAAUGGUGCCGUAACUUCGGGAGAAGGCACGCUGACACGUAGGUGAAGUGAUUUACUCAUGGAGCUGAAGUCAGUCGAAGAUACCAGCUGGCUGCAACUGUUUAUUAAAAACACAGCACUGUGCAAACACGAAAGUGGACGUAUACGGUGUGACGCCUGCCCGGUGCCGGAAGGUUAAUUGAUGGGGUCAGCGCAAGCGAAGCUCCUGAUCGAAGCCCCGGUAAACGGCGGCCGUAACUAUAACGGUCCUAAGGUAGCGAAAUUCCUUGUCGGGUAAGUUCCGACCUGCACGAAUGGCGUAAUGAUGGCCAGGCUGUCUCCACCCGAGACUCAGUGAAAUUGAACUCGCUGUGAAGAUGCAGUGUACCCGCGGCAAGACGGAAAGACCCCGUGAACCUUUACUAUAGCUUGACACUGAACAUUGAGCCUUGAUGUGUAGGAUAGGUGGGAGGCUUUGAAGUGUGGACGCCAGUCUGCAUGGAGCCGACCUUGAAAUACCACCCUUUAAUGUUUGAUGUUCUAACGUGGACCCGUAAUCCGGGUUGCGGACAGUGUCUGGUGGGUAGUUUGACUGGGGCGGUCUCCUCCUAAAGAGUAACGGAGGAGCACGAAGGUUGGCUAAUCCUGGUCGGACAUCAGGAGGUUAGUGCAAUGGCAUAAGCCAGCUUGACUGCGAGCGUGACGGCGCGAGCAGGUGCGAAAGCAGGUCAUAGUGAUCCGGUGGUUCUGAAUGGAAGGGCCAUCGCUCAACGGAUAAAAGGUACUCCGGGGAUAACAGGCUGAUACCGCCCAAGAGUUCAUAUCGACGGCGGUGUUUGGCACCUCGAUGUCGGCUCAUCACAUCCUGGGGCUGAAGUAGGUCCCAAGGGUAUGGCUGUUCGCCAUUUAAAGUGGUACGCGAGCUGGGUUUAGAACGUCGUGAGACAGUUCGGUCCCUAUCUGCCGUGGGCGCUGGAGAACUGAGGGGGGCUGCUCCUAGUACGAGAGGACCGGAGUGGACGCAUCACUGGUGUUCGGGUUGUCAUGCCAAUGGCACUGCCCGGUAGCUAAAUGCGGAAGAGAUAAGUGCUGAAAGCAUCUAAGCACGAAACUUGCCCCGA